UAGGGAAUCUUCCACAAUGGACGAAAGUCUGAUGGAGCAACGCCGCGUGAGUGAAGAAGGUUUUCGGCUCGUAAAGCUCUGUUGUUAAAGAAGAACACGUAUGAGAGUAACUGUUCAUACGUUGACGGUAUUUAACCAGAAAGUCACGGCUAACUACGUGCCAA
This 164-nucleotide ribosomal RNA is filed under the name uncultured bacterium. RNAcentral describes it as "partial 16S rRNA". It matches the Rfam family "Bacterial small subunit ribosomal RNA", at positions 355 to 511 of the family's 1533-position model. The record is from RNAcentral.